GAGUUUGAUCCUGGCUCAGGAUGAACGCUGGCGGCGUGCCUAAUACAUGCAAGUCGAGCGAACCACUUCGGUGGGAAGCGGCGAACGGGUGAGUAACACGUAGGUAAUCUGCCCAUCAGACGGGGACAACGAUUGGAAACGAUUGCUAAUACCGGAUAGGACGAAAGUUUAAAGAUGCUCCUGGCAUCACUGAUGGAUGAGCCUGCGGCGCAUUAGCUAGUUGGUGGGGUAAAGGCCUACCAAGGCGACGAUGCGUAGCCGACCUGAGAGGGUGAACGGCCACACUGGGACUGAGACACGGCCCAGACUCCUACGGGAGGCAGCAGUAGGGAAUCUUCGGCAAUGGGCGAAAGCCUGACCGAGCAACGCCGCGUGAAUGAAGAAGGCCUUCGGGUUGUAAAAUUCUGUUAUAAGGGAAGAAAGGUGAUAGGAGGAAAUGACUAUCAAUUGACGGUACCUUAUGAGAAAGCCACGGCUAACUACGUGCCAGCAGCCGCGGUAAUACGUAGGUGGCAAGCGUUAUCCGGAAUUAUUGGGCGUAAAGAGCGCGCAGGUGGUUAAUUAAGUCUGAUGUGAAAGCCCACGGCUUAACCGUGGAGGGUCAUUGGAAACUGGUUGACUUGAGUGCAGAAGAGGGAAGUGGAAUUCCAUGUGUAGCGGUGAAAUGCGUAAAGAUAUGGAGGA
Molecule: ribosomal RNA, 684 nt
Filed under: uncultured bacterium
Lineage: Bacteria
Description: bacterial SSU rRNA
Rfam family: Bacterial small subunit ribosomal RNA
Source: RNAcentral